Long non-coding RNA from Corvus hawaiiensis (hawaiian crow), 504 nucleotides. RefSeq lists it as uncharacterized. The transcript is spliced from 3 exons. Lineage: Eukaryota; Metazoa; Chordata; Aves; Passeriformes; Corvidae. The record is from RefSeq and is a predicted model, not a curated record.
GCCACAGCAGAGGAGGAUCCUUUUCUGAGAGCUUCAAAGGGUGAAAGGCUAGUGACCUUACAGAUGCACCAAAGGAGGCCAUGGAUAAUGAGGAGCUGUUUGUAAAUGGAUAGUGAGCCCAGACUCCCAUGGCAGACAGCUUCAUGGCUCCAGGGCUACAGCAUCCCCUCAUCCUGAACUUCCUUCUCUUGUUGUUUCCUAAAACCUUGUGGACUUUGAAAGCCUGAGGAGGACAGAAUCUCAGCACCUCCUCCCACAGCUGUGUUCUGAGAGGAUCAAACAGCACAGUUCUUCUCCAUCUGAAACCAGAGAACUCCUAAAAAACAACUGAAGCAAUGAAGUAUUUUACACACUCAGCAACCCAACAUUUUUUAUAAUGAUCCUAAAUACUUUUGGUGUUAAAAGAGUUUCUUGUCAGUUCCUGCCUGUGUUGAACCUCAUGGCAGCUCACAAAUUUUCUUAACUGUUGUUGCUUUUGUGUGAAUGAUGCUCUAUUUCCUGUGA